RNAcentral lists this long non-coding RNA (251 nucleotides) under Lathyrus oleraceus (garden pea). RNAcentral describes it as "Pisum sativum (pea) long non-coding RNA (PSAT_LNC008526)". The record is from RNAcentral. Lineage: Eukaryota; Viridiplantae; Streptophyta; Magnoliopsida; Fabales; Fabaceae.
UCUUCUGAUAUCCCGCCUCAUGGAAUUGAUGCAUACACUCUUGCAGCUUCACACUUAACUUCGAGUUUUCAGAUUGAAGCUCCUCCAUGGCAUUUUUCAAUUUGUCAUACUCUUCUCGAUUCACCAUUGUUGACUGCUCAGGAGUAGGUGGAUACAAAGGUUCCUCAAUAGGAAAUGGCAGACCAAACUCUUCGACUCUUCCUUGAAGCCAAUCUUCAUACUGAGGGUAAGUCCUGCAAUCUCCUUUUCCA